Molecule: ribosomal RNA, 207 nt
Filed under: uncultured bacterium
Lineage: Bacteria
Description: partial 16S ribosomal RNA
Rfam family: Bacterial small subunit ribosomal RNA
Source: RNAcentral
CGCGUAGGCGGUUCGUUAAGCUAGAUGUGAAAGCCCCGGGCUCAACCUGGGAACUGCAUUUAGAACUGGCAGGCUAGAAUACGGUAGAGGUUAGUGGAAUUUCCUGUGUAGCGGUGAAAUGCGUAGAGAUGGAAAGGAACACCAGUGGCGAAGGCGACUGACUGGACCGAUAUUGACGCUGAGGUGCGAAAGCGUGGGUAGCAAACA